GCGCCAUGUAAAGUCUGUAGUAAUGGUUAACGACAUCGAGGAGCUUAUUUGCGUUUUCUGCGCCCAUUAAUAACUCGGGAGAGGUGUCACCGUGUGAUCCAUGUAUGAUCUCGUGGAAGAUAUCGAUUGUCUCAGGACCGGGAGGCUGACCUUUCUGCGAUGUACUUUUACUGUGAGUUUCCAGCGACGGUCGAAGAAGUUUUUGCACGCGAAAGGAGAACGAAGAAAACCCGUUUGUGCCGUUGGUUAGCAGCUCUAUCGGUCGUGUAUUAUUAUAUUUAGGUGGAUUUGUAUGAUCGACGAAGCCUAAAUUUGGAUCUCCAGCGAAUGUAACCUCGGUGGGGAUUUUCUGGAUUUCUUGAUUGCAGAUUGCAGCCGUUAUAUUGGUCAACGACGUGUGGUUGGCACGCAUAUAGCCAAAUGCGAUGCCGAUAGAUGGGCAACCAAUUGGGUUGUCUUGCCUUUCCCAUAUAUCUACUAGAUGAGCGGGAUCCAGCG
RNAcentral lists this small RNA (498 nucleotides) under Histoplasma capsulatum. RNAcentral's name for it is "hypothetical RNA". Lineage: Eukaryota; Fungi; Ascomycota; Eurotiomycetes; Onygenales; Ajellomycetaceae. RNAcentral also lists the same sequence under 1 other name. The record is from RNAcentral.